CUGCAUGGCUGUCGUCAGCUCGUGUCGUGAGAUGUUGGGUUAAGUCCCGCAACGAGCGCAACCCUCGUCUCUAGUUGCUACGCAAGAGCACUCUAGAGAGACUGCCGGUGACAAACCGGAGGAAGGUGGGGAUGACGUCAAGUCCUCAUGGCCCUUAUGGGUAGGGCUUCACACGUCAUACAAUGGUGCGUACAGAGGGUUGCCAACCCGCGAGGGGGAGCUAAUCCCAGAAAACGCAUCGUAGUCCGGAUCGUAGUCUGCAACUCGACUACGUGAAGCUGGAAUCGCUAGUAAUCGCGGAUCAGCAUGCCGCGGUGAAUACGUU
Molecule: ribosomal RNA, 325 nt
Filed under: uncultured bacterium
Lineage: Bacteria
Description: bacterial SSU rRNA
Rfam family: Bacterial small subunit ribosomal RNA
Source: RNAcentral